This 392-nucleotide ribosomal RNA is filed under the name uncultured bacterium. RNAcentral describes it as "bacterial SSU rRNA". It matches the Rfam family "Bacterial small subunit ribosomal RNA", at positions 28 to 424 of the family's 1533-position model. The record is from RNAcentral.
GACGAACGCUGGCGGCGUGCUUAACACAUGCAAGUCGAGCGGUAAGGCCCUUUCGGGGGUACACGAGCGGCGAACGGGUGAGUAACACGUGGGUGACCUGCCUUUAGCUCUGGGAUAAGCCUGGGAAACUGGGUCUAAUACUGGAUAUGACUCCAUGACGCAUGUUGUGGGGUGGAAAGCCUUGUGCGGCUGAGGAUGGGCCCGCGGCCUAUCAGCUUGUUGGUGGGGUGANGGCCUACCAAGGCGACGACGGGUAGCCGGCCUGAGAGGGCGACCGGCCACACUGGGACUGAGACACGGCCCAGACUCCUACGGGAGGCAGCAGUGGGGAAUCUUGCGCAAUGGGCGAAAGCCUGACGCAGCGACGCCGCGUGAGGGAUGACGGCCUGGUU